This 234-nucleotide ribosomal RNA is filed under the name uncultured Candidatus Saccharibacteria bacterium. RNAcentral describes it as "partial 16S ribosomal RNA". It matches the Rfam family "Bacterial small subunit ribosomal RNA", at positions 584 to 818 of the family's 1533-position model. Lineage: Bacteria; Candidatus Saccharimonadota. The record is from RNAcentral.
UAAGCGGACAGUGAAAUUGUGUGGCUCAACCAUACCCACAUUGUCUGAACUGCUAAGCUAGAGUAUAUGAGAGGUAGUUGGAAUUCCUUGUGUAGGAGUGGAAUCCGUAGAUAUAAGGAGGAACACCGAUGGCGUAGGCAGACUACUGGCAUAUUACUGACACUAAGGCACGAAAGCGUGGGAGCGAACAGGAUUAGAUACCCUGGUAGUCCACGCCGUAAACUAUGGAUGCUA